RNAcentral lists this ribosomal RNA (492 nucleotides) under uncultured bacterium. RNAcentral's name for it is "partial 16S ribosomal RNA". It matches the Rfam family "Bacterial small subunit ribosomal RNA", at positions 30 to 507 of the family's 1533-position model. The record is from RNAcentral.
AUUGAACGCUGGCGGCAUGCUUUACACAUGCAAGUCGAACGGUAACUUGCCUUCGGGUGCUGCCGAGUGGCGAACGGGUUAGUAAUGCACCGGAACGUACCCAGAGGCGGGGGAUAACGCGGCGAAAGCUGUGUUAAUACCGCAUGUGAUCUGAGGAUGAAAGCGGGGGACCGAGCAGCAAUGUUUGGCUUCGCGCUAUUGGAGCGGCCGAUGUCGGCUUAGCUAGUUGGUUGGGUAAAGGGCUACCAAGGCGACGAUGCGUAGCUGGUCUGAGAGCACCACGAGCCAGACUGUGACUGAGGGUCAGCACAGACUCCUACGGUACGCAGCAGUGGCGAAUUCUGGACGAAGUACGAAAGGCUAAUCCAGCAAUGCCGGCGUCGGGAAGAUGGCCGUCGGCCUGUAGACCGAUUAUGGCAGUAGGGAAAUAAUGUCCGCUAAUACCGGGUGAUAAUGACAGUACCGGGAGAAUAAGCACCGGCUAACUACGUG